RNAcentral lists this ribosomal RNA (1705 nucleotides) under Escherichia coli. Its description in RNAcentral is "partial 23S ribosomal RNA". It matches the Rfam family "Bacterial large subunit ribosomal RNA", at positions 977 to 2665 of the family's 2925-position model. Lineage: Bacteria; Pseudomonadati; Pseudomonadota; Gammaproteobacteria; Enterobacterales; Enterobacteriaceae. The record is from RNAcentral.
ACGGGAGACACACGGCGGGUGCUAACGUCCGUCGUGAAGAGGGAAACAACCCAGACCGCCAGCUAAGGUCCCAAAGUCAUGGUUAAGUGGGAAACGAUGUGGGAAGGCCCAGACAGCCAGGAUGUUGGCUUAGAAGCAGCCAUCAUUUAAAGAAAGCGUAAUAGCUCACUGGUCGAGUCGGCCUGCGCGGAAGAUGUAACGGGGCUAAACCAUGCACCGAAGCUGCGGCAGCGACACUAUGUGUUGUUGGGUAGGGGAGCGUUCUGUAAGCCUGUGAAGGUGUACUGUGAGGUAUGCUGGAGGUAUCAGAAGUGCGAAUGCUGACAUAAGUAACGAUAAAGCGGGUGAAAAGCCCGCUCGCCGGAAGACCAAGGGUUCCUGUCCAACGUUAAUCGGGGCAGGGUGAGUCGACCCCUAAGGCGAGGCCGAAAGGCGUAGUCGAUGGGAAACAGGUUAAUAUUCCUGUACUUGGUGUUACUGCGAAGGGGGGACGGAGAAGGCUAUGUUGGCCGGGCGACGGUUGUCCCGGUUUAAGCGUGUAGGCUGAUUUUCCAGGCAAAUCCGGAAAAUCAAGGCUGAGGCGUGAUGACGAGGCACUACGGUGCUGAAGCAACAAAUGCCCUGCUUCCAGGAAAAGCCUCUAAGCAUCAGGUAACAUCAAAUCGUACCCCAAACCGACACAGGUGGUCAGGUAGAGAAUACCAAGGCGCUUGAGAGAACUCGGGUGAAGGAACUAGGCAAAAUGGUGCCGUAACUUCGGGAGAAGGCACGCUGAUAUGUAGGUGAAGCGACUUGCUCGUGGAGCUGAAAUCAGUCGAAGAUACCAGCUGGCUGCAACUGUUUAUUAAAAACACAGCACUGUGCAAACACGAAAGUGGACGUAUACGGUGUGACGCCUGCCCGGUGCCGGAAGGUUAAUUGAUGGGGUUAGCGGUAACGCGAAGCUCUUGAUCGAAGCCCCGGUAAACGGCGGCCGUAACUAUAACGGUCCUAAGGUAGCGAAAUUCCUUGUCGGGUAAGUUCCGACCUGCACGAAUGGCGUAAUGAUGGCCAGGCUGUCUCCACCCGAGACUCAGUGAAAUUGAACUCGCUGUGAAGAUGCAGUGUACCCGCGGCAAGACGGAAAGACCCCGUGAACCUUUACUAUAGCUUGACACUGAACAUUGAGCCUUGAUGUGUAGGAUAGGUGGGAGGCUUUGAAGUGUGGACGCCAGUCUGCAUGGAGCCGACCUUGAAAUACCACCCUUUAAUGUUUGAUGUUCUAACGUUGGCCCGUUAUCCGGGUUGCGGACAGUGUCUGGUGGGUAGUUUGACUGGGGCGGUCUCCUCCUAAAGAGUAACGGAGGAGCACGAAGGUUGGCUAAUCCUGGUCGGACAUCAGGAGGUUAGUGCAAUGGCAUAAGCCAGCUUGACUGCGAGCGUGACGGCGCGAGCAGGUGCGAAAGCAGGUCAUAGUGAUCCGGUGGUUCUGAAUGGAAGGGCCAUCGCUCAACGGAUAAAAGGUACUCCGGGGAUAACAGGCUGAUACCGCCCAAGAGUUCAUAUCGACGGCGGUGUUUGGCACCUCGAUGUCGGCUCAUCACAUCCUGGGGCUGAAGUAGGUCCCAAGGGUAUGGCUGUUCGCCAUUUAAAGUGGUACGCGAGCUGGGUUUAGAACGUCGUGAGACAGUUCGGUCCCUAUCUGCCGUGGGCGCUGGAGAACUGA